RNAcentral lists this ribosomal RNA (347 nucleotides) under uncultured Paeniglutamicibacter sp. RNAcentral describes it as "bacterial SSU rRNA". It matches the Rfam family "Bacterial small subunit ribosomal RNA", at positions 1018 to 1364 of the family's 1533-position model. Lineage: Bacteria; Bacillati; Actinomycetota; Actinomycetes; Micrococcales; Micrococcaceae. The record is from RNAcentral.
CCUUUGGAGCUGGUUCACAGGUGGUGCAUGGUUGUCGUCAGCUCGUGUCGUGAGAUGUUGGGUUAAGUCCCGCAACGAGCGCAACCCUCGUUCCUUGUUGCCAGCACGUAAUGGUGGGGACUCAUGGGAGACUGCCGGGGUCAACUGGAGGAAGGGGGGGACGACGUCAAAUCAUCAUGCCCCUUAUGUCUUGGGCUUCACGCAUGCUACAAUGGGCGGUACAAUGGGUUGCGACCCUGUGAGGUGGAGCUAAUCCCAAAAAGCCGGUCUCAGUUCGGAUUGGGGUCUGCAACUCGACCCCAUGAAGUCGGAGUCGCUAGUAAUCGCAGAUCAACAACGCUGCGGUG